Molecule: long non-coding RNA, 601 nt
Organism: Arvicola amphibius (Eurasian water vole)
Lineage: Eukaryota; Metazoa; Chordata; Mammalia; Rodentia; Cricetidae
Exons: 4
Source: RefSeq, a predicted model, not a curated record
GGAAAAUCCUAGAAUGUCUGGGAAGGUCCCAAGGAUGGAGCAUGAACUAAAUCUUCAGAAAUGUUGAUGCAGCUGCUCUGCCUUGAAGGGAAGUCUCAAGCUGCCCUUCCCCGGAUCAUCAAGUAGAGACCAAGGUGGCAGUCGGUGGUGCUCUGGAAAGCUAUGCCAGGAGAUUCAGGGACUCAUUCAAGACCUGGUUGCCUAAGUUUUGGGCUUAUGAGAAGGGUCACGUGAACUGCAGAAAAAUGAGACAUAUAAGAGUCACACGGGAGGCAAGUUUUCCUGGCAAGAAAAGAAGUCAAUCUAAAGAGACAUGUGUGCCUCUCAAUUUGACAAACCGUUGAAACAAUGACCCCUACUAAAAGUGGAAUUUCUCCAGGAAUCUCACACUGGGAGAAGGAAAUCACCGCUAUCCAGGUGGAAAGCUGGCCUCCUAAAAGAUUUCAAGCUGUUUUUGCCAGACCACAUAAUGUCUGAGUCUGUACCAGAUAAUGAUGGGAGAAUGAUAGACAGGACCACACCUUGACAAGGACUACUCAUGUGUGCAUAUAUCUGGGUCUCUGCUUAAACUUUGAUCUCACUUAGAGAAAAUGGAGAUGGA